UUAAGUUCAGCGGGUGGUCCUACUCGAUUUGAGGUCAAGUUGUCAGUUGUUGUCCGAAGACAGUUCGAAAGCACAGAGCUCCUGAUCAGCCACCCUCUUGCGAGGCGCCGGCGAAGACACUUAUCACGCCGUACUAUGUCCAACCAAGAGUUGCACUAAUGCAUUUGAGGUGAGCUGCAGUCAAGCAGCAACACCCAAGU
RNAcentral lists this unclassified non-coding RNA (200 nucleotides) under Sebacina sp. RNAcentral's name for it is "partial internal transcribed spacer 2". Lineage: Eukaryota; Fungi; Basidiomycota; Agaricomycetes; Sebacinales; Sebacinaceae. The record is from RNAcentral.